GACGGAGGGGGCUAGCGUUGUUCGGAAUUACUGGGCGUAAAGAGCGCGUAGGCGGAUUAGUAAGUUGGGAGUGAAAGCCCGGGGCUUAACCUCGGAAUAGCUUUCAAAACUACUAGUCUUGAGUGUAGUAGGGGAUGAUGGAAUUCCUAGUGUAGAGGUGAAAUUCUUAGAUAUUAGGAGGAACACCGGUGGCGAAGGCGGUCAUCUGGGCUACAACUGACGCUGAGGCGCGAAAGCGUGGGGAGCAAACAGG
RNAcentral lists this ribosomal RNA (253 nucleotides) under uncultured bacterium. Its description in RNAcentral is "partial 16S ribosomal RNA". It matches the Rfam family "Bacterial small subunit ribosomal RNA", at positions 524 to 776 of the family's 1533-position model. The record is from RNAcentral.